CCUAAGUCGCUUAGGUGACCUAUUGCAGUUGGUCUUUGUCCGUCGUCAUGUGGUGUGCUUCGUGUGUUGUGCAUUAACAAUUUUACAUUAAUUUUUUAAUUUCUUGAAAAUACAUUGCCAAUUGUUACCAUUUUUGGUGUGAAUAAUCUCUAUUGUAAGAGGAAUCUAAAUUUUGAAAUUCAUGGCUCUACCACCCUGGGGGGCCACAGGCAGGGCAAAAUAUGCAAAAAAAGCCAAAUUUUCAAAAAUAUUGUUCUCUACUCCCACACAUGUGAGGAAAACACUGAAUGCAUGAUUAUGAUGUCCAUGAAUCCCUUUGCUAAAAUUUUGAAAUUCAUGGCCCCUGGGUCAAGGGUUCAAGCCCUAGGGCUUCACUUUAGGUCCUACACUUUAUUAUGACAUUAAUUAAGUUUUUAGCUUAAAUAUAGGUUUUAUAGUCAUUUGUGAAAGAUUUCAGGAAGGAAGGUGGUUGAUAUUACACUAUUAAGGUGGAAGGCUACAUCGUCACAACAUGUCUGACUUCCGUUCGAAACGCCAUUGUGUUCCGGAUUGAUAACAUUAUGUCGUGGUACAAAAUAGCUAUACACCGAUUAAUUGAACUCUUCUAACUAAGGAGAUGAGAUAGGAAUGAAUCACCAAAACGCUUAGAAAAUGUGUCAAUUUUCUUUCUGUUUAAAGCUUUUAACUAACAUUGAUUAUCAGCUGUUUUGUACGGAAAACGUGGAAUCUAAAUAAUAUACCGUUUCCCUGCUCUGCUGCUAUUGGCAAUACAUUUUUGUCAUGUCAUCUGCAACAGACGAUCAUACAUAUGUGGCGGAUUAUCGAUAUAGAUACAGCUAGGUAGCCAUAGCAGUGGAAGCCCGGAUUUGCAAGCCAAAUGAGGGAAAGACAGAAUUCUGAAAAGGAGCAUGUUUUUCAUUUCCACACAUGCAUGUGUAUCACUAUGGACAUCUAAUGUUUUUGUGGGAUUUUGUCCAGCAGUUUGCCUUAAAAGAAUUUUUUUAUAUUUUAGUUUCAGAUUUAUGUGGAUUCCAAUAAAAAUCAUACAAACUUCAUUCAUGAUUUUUUUGUUUUUCAUUUCUAAACUUAAUAACAUUUCACUUUCAUAAGAAUUUUAAAACAGAAGUGUUUAAAAAUUUGAUAAAUAAGGGGUUAUCUGGAACCAGACUGAUAUUUUAAAAAUUCUCUAGAAAAUAGUGUAUUGUAUUUUGAGGUCUAUUAUUGUUGAAUACUGUGCCUAGUAUUGGUAACAAAUGCAUGCAACAAAAAUCUCCUACACUUAUUUGGUGUAGAGAUCCACCUUAAUAUAAUUUUUCUACUCCAAAAUGAAACUCAAAUUAAAUGCAUAUAAUUAUGUUGAUUGAGCCUCUUUGACAAGUUUGUAUAUGGGCUAAGGUACACAGGUGACCGUUGAGGCCAAUUCGCCUCUUGUUUUAUUAAUUAGCUCAUCUGAGAAGAAAGAUGUCAUAUUGUCAGAGCUAUUGUUGUUUCUGCCACUAACUUUCUACUAUCCAAUGUCAAUUAUAAUGGGGAAUAUCAUUUAAAUCAUUAAAAAGUAUUUUGAAUUUUAAAGCAUUAUUAACUUUUUAGCUCACCAAGAGGAAGUUGGGGUGAGGUUAAACUUUACCCCCGAUGUGGGCAUCGGCGUCCGGACCUAGUUGAGGUUUUUGUUGCAGGUCCUUUAUCUAAGUUAUUACUUGCAUUAUCUUCACCAAACUUGCAUGGAUGAUGCUUCUGAACCUACUUAUGAACUUGAAAGAGUUAGAUGCUGAAUUUGGGUGAUGAAUUUCAGAUGCUGGAGAAGGUUUAGGUUUUUGGAGCAGGUUAAAGUUUUUGAUACAGGUGCCCUUUGAUAGCCGUUCCUAAAUUACUACUGGUCCUAAUAACAUCACCAAACUUGCAUGGAUGGUGCAUCUUAUGAUACUGAUACACUUGACAGGCUUGAAUGUUGAAUUUGAGCCAUAGGUUUCAGAUGCUGAUUGAAGUGAAUGUUUUUAAAGCUGGUUGAAGGUUUUGGUGCAGGUGCCCUCUGAUGAUUAUAUUUUAGUUAUUACUGGUCCUAACUUCACCAAACUUGCAUAGAUUCUAAUGAAUCUGAUUCACUCCACAGAUAAGGAUGCUGAAUUAGAGCCUUAGGUUUCAGAUGCAGGAGGAGGUUUAGUUUCUUGGAACUGGUCACAUGUUUAAUAGAUAAUAGUACUAUUAUGAUACACUAUCAAACAAAACAUUAUCAUAUAAUACAAUAUCAUGGUAUUAUAUCUUACUAUUACUUAUUAGGUUAGUUACUGACUCACUAUGGAAAUAUAUUG
Molecule: long non-coding RNA, 2309 nt
Organism: Magallana angulata
Lineage: Eukaryota; Metazoa; Mollusca; Bivalvia; Ostreida; Ostreidae
Exons: 3
Source: RefSeq, a predicted model, not a curated record